UACAGAGGUCUCAAGCGUUGUUCGGAUUCAUUGGGCGUAAAGGGUGCGUAGGUGCCAUGGUAAGUCGGAUGUGAAAUCCCGGGGCUCAACCCCGAAACUGCACUUGAUACUGCCUUGCUAGAGUACUGGAGAGGAGAUUGGAAUUUACGGUGUAGCAGUGAAAUGCGUAGAUAUCGUAAGGAAGACCAGUGGCGAAGGCGAAUCUCUGGACAGUUACUGACACUGAGACGCGAAAGCGUGGGGAGCAAACAGG
RNAcentral lists this ribosomal RNA (253 nucleotides) under uncultured bacterium. RNAcentral's name for it is "partial 16S ribosomal RNA". It matches the Rfam family "Bacterial small subunit ribosomal RNA", at positions 524 to 776 of the family's 1533-position model. The record is from RNAcentral.